CCUACGGGUGGCAGCAGUGAGGAAUAUUGGUCAAUGGGCGCGAGCCUGAACCAGCCAAGUCGCGUGAGGGAUGAAGGUUCUAUGGAUCGUACACCUCUUUUAUAAGGGAAUAAAGUGUGGGACGUGUCCUAUUUUGUAUGUACCUUAUGAAUAAGGAUCGGCUACCUCCGUGCCAGCAGCCGCGGUAAUACGGAGGAUCCGAGCGUUAUCCGGAUUUAUUGGGUUUAAAGGGUGCGUAGGCGGAAUAUCAAGUCAGCGGUAAAAAUUCGGGGCUCAACCCCGUCGUGCCGUUGAAACUGAUGUUCUUGAGUGGGCGAGAAGUAUGCGGAAUGCGUGGUGUAGCGGUGAAAUGCAUAGAUAUCACGCAGAACUCCGAUUGCGAAGGCAGCAUACCGGCGCCCAACUGACGCUGAAGCACGAAAGCGUGGGUAUCGAACAGGAUUAGAUACCCCUGUAGUC
RNAcentral lists this ribosomal RNA (459 nucleotides) under uncultured bacterium. Its description in RNAcentral is "partial 16S ribosomal RNA". It matches the Rfam family "Bacterial small subunit ribosomal RNA", at positions 338 to 795 of the family's 1533-position model. The record is from RNAcentral.